RNAcentral lists this ribosomal RNA (213 nucleotides) under uncultured soil bacterium. RNAcentral describes it as "partial 16S ribosomal RNA". It matches the Rfam family "Bacterial small subunit ribosomal RNA", at positions 26 to 238 of the family's 1533-position model. The record is from RNAcentral.
AGACUGAACGCUGGCGGCAUGCCUUACACAUGCAAGUCGAACGGCAGCACGGGAGCAAUCCUGGUGGCGAGUGGCGAACGGGUGAGUAAUACAUCGGAACGUGCCCAAUCGUGGGGGAUAACGCAGCGAAAGCUGUGCUAAUACCGCAUAAGAUCUACGGAUGAAAGCAGGGGAUCGCAAGACCUUGCGCGAAGUGGAGGCCGGCCGAUGGCA